This 1058-nucleotide unclassified non-coding RNA is filed under the name Hevea brasiliensis (rubber tree). Lineage: Eukaryota; Viridiplantae; Streptophyta; Magnoliopsida; Malpighiales; Euphorbiaceae. The record is from RNAcentral.
AUGGAAGCUGGGUUUUCUUCCUGAAAAUUGACAUUGGUAACUCUUUGUAAAUGCUCAUGUUCUUACAUAGAUAGGUUAGUGUUUCUCCUGUAUCACCAAGCAUCAGCAAUCAUCUCCAUGCCAGCUAGCUGUACCUGAUGUAUAUAAAUCAUUUGUGUAGGUAUUUGGCGGUUGUGUUUAGUAUAUAUCCUGUACAGAAGCCAUUUUUUGUCAAAUUGUCAUUGUAUAUUGCACUGAACUGGGGGAUCCCUUUGCCUCCAAAGCCCAAGUGACUAGUUAUUGAUUGUUGUCCUUGUAUUGUAUCUGGGUUGAGAUUCUUGAUGAUGUUUAUGAGUACUACUUUCAUCAGUCUGCAUAGUGUUGCUUCGUUAUUCACUUGUAGACCUAGUCUUCUCUUAAAAUAUUGUGGAAUAUGCGAGAACUGGUGGUAUGGUUUUGAUCUUAGCUGGGGCAAGUGUUUCUCUAUUCAGCUUUUCACUGAUAGCCUAUCUCAAUUGUAUUUUUGUUCCAUUCUUGAGAUUAAAGUGAUUUCCAGGCAUUACUUUAUUUAGAAUGUACAUAAGCCAUACGAAAUGAGCAACAAAUUCUGCAUCAACUCUUCACUUGCUAAGAUGGUUCAAAGUUAAAGCUUCAAAGUAAACUGCAAAUGAGGUAAUUUUCUUGUUGAUUAUUUAUUUCCCAGAAACCAGAAAAGUUUAAUUUCAUAACUUUUUAAGGAAGCUGCCAAACUCAAAGUUAGUGCUGCUAUGAUUGGUGGAUGUAUUAUGUGAAUCAAAUUCUUGUGAUUUGCAACCAAUGAAAUGCGAGUAUAGGAUGAAUUAUGCAUACCAUUGUAGUGCAUGUUAUGUGUAUACAUCAAUUUUCUUAUUCUGCAACUUUAUUGUGUUUUAUUUAUUCUGGUGGCUUUCUAUUCUUUUGUCUAUUAUUGGAUUACCAAUUUGUUUAUGCGCUAUUUUUAGCUUUUCAUCUGUCCCCUUCAAUGUUUUCUUUUGGAGCUUUCAGAAUUCAGAGUCUAGUAAUAUCAUUGUCAAAAAAAUGGUUAUUUUAUUAUUUUUAGG